UUACCCUGUUACAUUGUAGAAUGC
This 24-nucleotide microRNA is filed under the name Capitella teleta. RNAcentral describes it as "cte-miR-1991". The record is from miRBase by way of RNAcentral. Lineage: Eukaryota; Metazoa; Annelida; Polychaeta; Capitellidae.